GCAGCUCAGUGGGAGAGCAUCUGCUUGGCAUGUAGAAGGUUCCGGGUUCAAUCCCUGGCAGCUCCC
RNAcentral lists this transfer RNA (66 nucleotides) under Sphaerodactylus townsendi. Its description in RNAcentral is "tRNA-Ala". It matches the Rfam family "tRNA". Rfam says of the family: Transfer RNA (tRNA) molecules are approximately 80 nucleotides in length. Their secondary structure includes four short double-helical elements and three loops (D, anti-codon, and T loops). The record is from RNAcentral. Lineage: Eukaryota; Metazoa; Chordata; Lepidosauria; Squamata; Sphaerodactylidae.